This 442-nucleotide ribosomal RNA is filed under the name uncultured bacterium. RNAcentral describes it as "SSU rRNA". It matches the Rfam family "Bacterial small subunit ribosomal RNA", at positions 26 to 518 of the family's 1533-position model. The record is from RNAcentral.
AGAACGAACGCUGGCGGCAGGCUUAACACAUGCAAGUCGAACGCGUGUAGCAAUACACGAGUGGCGCACGGGUGAGUAACGCGUGGAUAUCUGCCUUUUGGUUCGGAAUAACCCCGGGAAACUGGGGCUAAUACCGGAUGGUUCCUACGGGAUAAAGAUUUAUCGCCAAAAGAUGAGUCCGCGUCCGAUUAGCUAGUUGGUGGGGUAAUGGCCUACCAAGGCGACGAUCGGUAGCUGGUCUGAGAGGACGAUCAGCCACACUGGGACUGAGACACGGCCCAGACUCCUACGGGAGGCAGCAGUGGGAAUAUUGGACAAUGGGGCAACCCUGAUCCAGCCAUGCCGCGUGAGUGAUGAAGGCCUUCGGGUUGUAAAGGCUCUUUUGGCGGGACGAUGAUGACGGUACCGCAGAUAAGCCCGGCUAACUCGUGCCAGCAGCCGC